Long non-coding RNA from Xenia sp. Carnegie-2017, 367 nucleotides. RefSeq lists it as uncharacterized. The transcript has 2 exons. Lineage: Eukaryota; Metazoa; Cnidaria; Anthozoa; Malacalcyonacea; Xeniidae. The record is from RefSeq and is a predicted model, not a curated record.
UAAAAUGCGAAACGCUAGCACAAGUGACGGCCAAAACACCACAACCUUUCUCUGACACACAAAGCACAUCGCCAAAAAUAUUGAAGCCUUAACUUUUUCAAAGGAAGAAAUUCUAAGAGAGCUCGCUAUGCAGCACUUAGUACAACAUCUUGACGCCCGUUGGCGCAAUGUAUUAUGAAGCGUCGAAUUCGUCGCACAUUUUCCCGUUGAAAAUACUCUAUCAUUAAAAUAGUAUCUUUAUUGAAAACUGUAUGUAUAACACAUAGUUAUAAUAGCGUUGUAAUUCGAGAUCAACCAGAUAGCAUGCACAUGUUACGUUACAAACUGAUUCGCACAGCAUUUUUAAUUGGCAUUUUUUUUUAAUUAA